This 425-nucleotide ribosomal RNA is filed under the name uncultured Methylocystis sp. RNAcentral's name for it is "bacterial SSU rRNA". It matches the Rfam family "Bacterial small subunit ribosomal RNA", at positions 39 to 510 of the family's 1533-position model. Lineage: Bacteria; Pseudomonadati; Pseudomonadota; Alphaproteobacteria; Hyphomicrobiales; Methylocystaceae. The record is from RNAcentral.
GCGGCAGGCCUAACACAUGCAAGUCGAACGCUGUAGCAAUACAGAGUGGCAGACGGGUGAGUAACGCGUGGGAACAUGCCCUUCGGUUCGGAAUAACUCAGGGAAACUUGAGCUAAUACCGGAUACGCCCUUAGGGGGAAAGAUUUAUUGCCGAAGGAUUGGCCCGCGUCCGAUUAGCUAGUUGGUGAGGUAAUGGCUCACCAAGGCGACGAUCGGUAGCUGGUCUGAGAGGAUGAUCAGCCACACUGGGACUGAAACACGGCCCAAACUCCUACGGGAGGCAGCAGUGGGGAAUAUUGGACAAUGGGCGCAAGCCUGAUCCAGCCAUGCCGCGUGAGUGAUGAAGGCCCUAGGGUUGUAAAGCUCUUUCGCCAGGGACGAUAAUGACGGUACCUGGAUAAGAAGCCCCGGCUAACUUCGUGCCA